GAGCACGUAGGUGGGUUUGUCGCGUCGUCUGUGAAAUUCCGGGGCUUAACUCCGGGCGUGCAGGCGAUACGGGCAUAACUUGAGUACUGUAGGGGUAACUGGAAUUCCUGGUGUAGCGGUGAAAUGCGCAGAUAUCAGGGGGAACACCGAUGGCGAAGGCAGGUUACUGGGCAGUUACUGACGCUGAGGAGCGAAAGCAUGGGUAGCGAACAGGAUUAGAUACCCUGGUAGUCCAUGCCGUAAACGGUGGGCACUAAGUAGAGGGG
Molecule: ribosomal RNA, 266 nt
Filed under: uncultured bacterium
Lineage: Bacteria
Description: partial 16S ribosomal RNA
Rfam family: Bacterial small subunit ribosomal RNA
Source: RNAcentral